AAAACCAAAGAUCUAGCACACACCCAUAAGUAACCAAUGAAAAUGUUUCAUACCAUCACCUUAAAAGGUUUAUUUUUCAUUUGCGGAUUUCAAAGAAACCAUCCGAUGAUUUCUUUUGAAGUAGCUCUUAGUUUGUCAAAUACUCAGUUUUUAUAAAGAAAUCAAGAUUCACUUUUCUACACCACCUUAUGGAUAUGGUUAUUGAUGAAUUAAUUUCGAAACUGCUGGAAUUCGUUGAAGAGAUAUCAACGUGAUCUGGAAAGGAAGCCGCAACUCUCAUAAAAAGGUGGAGUGAAUAAUGCUUCAUCAAGUGCUGCCAUUCUUUUCUCUUGCGGAUCUGAACUGGUAAAAUUCAAUUAUAAUUCUUGUCUUCUUUUUACAUAUUGUGCUGAUUGCUAACUAUUUAUUCAUAAAUUACCAUCUUUCCGUAUUUUUAUUGGCUUUACUUUCCUUUGUUUGGUUGCUUAUUACAACGAGAUUUCUCUUUACUUUUGACAAACUAGUAUCAGCUGGUGUUGGUUUCCCUAUACUAGUAUCUCUUUUAAUCACCAUUAUAAGGUUCAUAAUAAGUUUCAAUGCUCAUCUACUUUUCUAUCCCUUAUAUAGUUAUAUUAGCCUUGCAAU
Molecule: long non-coding RNA, 624 nt
Organism: Papaver somniferum (opium poppy)
Lineage: Eukaryota; Viridiplantae; Streptophyta; Magnoliopsida; Ranunculales; Papaveraceae
Exons: 3
Source: RefSeq, a predicted model, not a curated record